UCGUCAGCUCGUGCUGUGAAGUGUUAGGGUUAAGUCCCGGACAACCGAGCGCAACCCUGACCUGCCUGUUGCCACCACGAGAGGUGGGGACUCAGGCGGGACCGCCGGUGACAAACCGGAGGAAGGUGGGGACGACGUCAAGUCAUCAUGGCCCUUAUGUCCUGGGCUACACACGUGCUACAAUGGCCGGUACAGAGCGCAGCGAGGCCGCGAGGCGGAGCGAAUCGCUUAAAGCCGGUCCCAGUACGGAUUGGAGUCUGCAACCCGACUCCAUGAAGUUGGAAUCGCUAGUAAUCGCGCAUCAGCAUGGCGCGGUGAAUACGUUCCCGGGCCUU
Molecule: ribosomal RNA, 335 nt
Filed under: uncultured Spirochaeta sp.
Lineage: Bacteria; Pseudomonadati; Spirochaetota; Spirochaetia; Spirochaetales; Spirochaetaceae
Description: bacterial SSU rRNA
Rfam family: Bacterial small subunit ribosomal RNA
Source: RNAcentral